This is a non-coding RNA of Jatropha curcas, 73 nucleotides long. NCBI's taxonomy places the organism in Eukaryota, Viridiplantae, Streptophyta, Magnoliopsida, Malpighiales, Euphorbiaceae. The record is from Rfam.
GGAGAUGUAGCUCAGAUGGUAGAGCGUUCGCUUUACAAGCAAGAGAUACGGGGAUCGAUACUCUGCAUUUUUA